RNAcentral lists this ribosomal RNA (632 nucleotides) under uncultured bacterium. RNAcentral's name for it is "bacterial SSU rRNA". The stretch from base 1 to 539 matches the Rfam family "Bacterial small subunit ribosomal RNA", at positions 338 to 873 of the family's 1533-position model. The record is from RNAcentral.
CCUACGGGAGGCAGCAGUGGGGAAUUUUGGACAAUGGGGGCAACCCUGAUCCAGCAAUGCCGCGUGAGUGAAGAAGGCCCUCGGGUUGUAAAGCUCUUUUGUCAGGGAAGAAACGGUCUACUCUAAUACAGUGGGCUAAUGACGGUACCUGAAGAAUAAGCACCGGCUAACUACGUGCCAGCAGCCGCGGUAAUACGUAGGGUGCAAGCGUUAAUCGGAAUUACUGGGCGUAAAGCGUGCGCAGGCGGUUUUAUAAGACAGAGGUGAAAUCCCCGGGCUCAACCUGGGAACUGCCUUUGUGACUGUAAGGCUAGAGUGUGUCAGAGGGGGGUAGAAUUCCACGUGUAGCAGUGAAAUGCGUAGAUAUGUGGAGGAAUACCGAUGGCGAAGGCAGCCCCCUGGGAUAACACUGACGCUCAUGCACGAAAGCGUGGGGAGCAAACAGGAUUAGAUACCCUGGUAGUCCACGCCCUAAACGAUGUCUACUAGUUGUCGGGACUUAAUUGUCUUGGUAACGCAGCUACGCGUGAGUAGACGCCGUCGGGAGGUACGGUCGGCGAGAAGUUAAACGUUAACGUUAAAGAAGUAGUUAGUUACGUGNGAGNGCGACGACGACGACGACGGAGGAGGAG